Molecule: non-coding RNA, 62 nt
Filed under: Thermophagus xiamenensis
Lineage: Bacteria; Pseudomonadati; Bacteroidota; Bacteroidia; Marinilabiliales; Marinilabiliaceae
Description: Fluoride sequence
Rfam family: Fluoride riboswitch aptamer (crcB RNA motif)
Source: Rfam by way of RNAcentral
UUUGUACAGGGCAAUGAGGUCUGCCUUUAACCGCCAAAAUGGCUGAUGACUUCUACUUUAGU